This 535-nucleotide ribosomal RNA is filed under the name uncultured bacterium. Its description in RNAcentral is "bacterial SSU rRNA". It matches the Rfam family "Bacterial small subunit ribosomal RNA", at positions 391 to 917 of the family's 1533-position model. The record is from RNAcentral.
GCCAUGCCGCGUGUGUGAAGAAGGCCUUUUGGUUGUAAAGCACUUUAAGCGAGGAGGAGGCUACCUAGAUUAAUACUCUGGGAUAGUGGACGUUACUCGCAGAAUAAGCACCGGCUAACUCUGUGCCAGCAGCCGCGGUAAUACAGAGGGUGCGAGCGUUAAUCGGAUUUACUGGGCGUAAAGCGUGCGUAGGCGGCUGAUUAAGUCGGAUGUGAAAUCCCUGAGCUUAACUUAGGAAUUGCAUUCGAUACUGGUCAGCUAGAGUAUGGGAGAGGAUGGUAGAAUUCCAGGUGUAGCGGUGAAAUGCGUAGAGAUCUGGAGGAAUACCGAUGGCGAAGGCAGCCAUCUGGCCUAAUACUGACGCUGAGGUACGAAAGCAUGGGGAGCAAACAGGAUUAGAUACCCUGGUAGUCCAUGCCGUAAACGAUGUCUACUAGCCGUUGGGGUCUUUGAGGCUUUAGUGGCGCAGCUAACGCGAUAAGUAGACCGCCUGGGGAGUACGGUCGCAAGACUAAAACUCAAAUGAAUUGACGGA